This 5299-nucleotide long non-coding RNA is filed under the name Brassica napus (rape). RNAcentral's name for it is "long non-coding RNA (BNAP_LNC011094)". The record is from RNAcentral. Lineage: Eukaryota; Viridiplantae; Streptophyta; Magnoliopsida; Brassicales; Brassicaceae.
CACUACGUCAUGUCACACAUAAUUAUGUUGGUUACCAGUUGAGACACCGCAGCUGAGGAGGCUCAUCUUCUCUAGAGGAAACCGAGGGUCCACCUUCACCACACAGGCCGAGUCUAUGACGGUGUACUCGGAGAAGGUGGAUGUGUUAAGAAAAUGGUAGAUGGGCUUGUUGUCUUUGCUGGUGAAGAAUCUGGUCUUCCCAUCACCUACCAUCACUUUCUUCAUUGGAUCCACUCGGAACCUCUCGCAAAGAUUGGCUCCGUCUCGUUUACAGACUCUGCAAUCACCACAUUCUCCGGUGAAAAUAGGGAGCACAUGAUCCCCUGCCUUCAUAUCUUCCACUCCUUCCCCUACGCUCUCCACUAUCCUGUUUCCAUCCAUUGGGAAAACAAAAUAAUAAUAAUGAGACAACAAGAUAUAUUAGUAUUUUAUCCAAAAAAAUGUAUUGGACUAAUUACCCUGCAGCCUCAUGACCAAGGAUUCGAGGGUAUGCUUGCUGAGCCUCGUUCUGACCAACAGACAGAUAUAAGAAAAUUAAAAGGAGACUUCAAGAAGAAGAAGAGAAAAAGAGAGAGUAAGUUACCUCGCCUUUCCAUGCGCUAAGAUCAGUGUGACAGAUGGAAGUGAAGAGGAUUCGUAGUCUAACUUCCAAUCUCUGAGGAGGAUCCACUUUUACAUCCUCCAUCACUAGAGCUUCUCCUGCUCCCCAUGCCACAGCCGCUGUUCAUUCAUUCAUUAACACUCAUCAUAUUAAUUUUAGCUUAGCGUUAGACUUAUACAUACAUAUAAACAUCAUUGUAAAUUACCUCUGCAAGCUAAAUUUUUCUAGUUUUUGCUUAAAACGUGUUUUACAUUAUUCUUAUUACAAAUAAAAAAUAUUUAAUCCAAACAUAACUACUGUAGGUAUUAAAAAAAUAAAUGUACAUAUAAUGCUUACAAUCCAACCCUGAGCAGUGAGCACAUAUAAUUAAGGCAUCUAUGCUACUUUUUUGGAACACACAUCUAACAAUAAACUGAUGUACAAUAAAAAACUAAUUCAGAUAAAAAUUUAAAAUUAUCAAUAAUAUAAUUUUAUUUAUUUGAGGUUACUCAUUACAAUUUUUUAAUAUAUAUAUAUAUAUAUAUAUAUUGUUAAUAAAUUUUAUUCUAUUUAGAGAAAUUAGAGUUUUUCUCUUACAAUUUGAUACCUAUAAAUUAAAUUUUGUAAUCUUUUGGAUUUACUUAAUAUUAACUACAACUAAAACUAUAUUUUUCAUUUACUAUUUCAUACUUAUUAUAUUUCCUAUUUCUUUAAUUUUUACUUAGUAUUGACUGAGAUUAGGAAUAUUUCCCAUUUUAUAAACUUUACUAAGUACAGAUUUUCAAAAUUUUCUAUAUGAGAUUCACGAAAGUUUUAUUUUUUCAUUAGCAAUUUUAAAAAAUAAUUUUAUCAAAUAAUUUUAUGUGUGUUUUGAUAAUAGUUUUUUAUAUUUUUAUUUUUCAGAAUUAAAUAUUUAGUAUUAAUAAUAUUUUCAUUUUAUUAAUUUGAAAAUCAAAAAUUAAAAAUUUAAAUCUAAAAUAACCAUUCAUGUUUUUCAAAAAACUGAAAUGUAUUGCAAAAAAAAACUAAAACUAAAAUCUAAAAGCAAAAAAAAAUCAAAUAACCAGUGCUGAGUGGGUACAUGUGAAAAUGGUUUUUUUGUCUGAAUAUAAUUUAACCAGUGCUGAGUGGGUACAUGUGAAAAACUAGUAUGGAGCCCACAACUUUAUAAAACCAUUUUUUCUGUUUUUAGUUACUUUUUUACAUUUUUAUUUAAAAAUAUUAAUACAUAAGGUUAAAAGUUUUUUAUGUAAGAAAAACAAACAUAUUAAUUAAUGUAACAUAUAGAUGUAUAAUAUAUAUAUAUAUAUAUAUAUUUCAAUUGGUAAUUGUUUUACAAUUAUAAAUAUCGUAUUAAAUAAAACUUUAUAUAAUUAUUUAAAAUAUUAUCAUAUUUUUUUAAAAAAUUGUCUAGUUUUGUAUAGGGUCUCUAAAAUCUCAGGACUGCCAUUGAAUUUGACAUCGUUCAAAUAAAAAAGGGUUGUGUUCAGAAAUAGAACUAAUAGAUAGGUUGUAAAAUUUUGUCUUUGCUCUUUAAAAAAAAAACAAUUGUCUAAUUAUCAAAUGUUAUUUGAGCUAACCAGAAAGAAAUAGGCUGAUUGGCUAAUUUCUUUGGGUAGCAAAACCUUGGCCGAGCUAACCAAGCAUCGGGAUUUCAAAUUUUAAAUUGCAGCUCCUCCUCGUCAGGUUUAUGGGCCAGAUAUGUAUGUUGACUUAUAUAGGCCCUUGUAAAAAUGCAUAACUGCUUCAAGUACUUUAAAUUUUUGUUUGGCAACAUUAAUAGUAGUAAAAAAAUAAAUAUAAUGUUAUUUGAAAACACAGAUAACAAUAAAUUAGGAAAAAAGUAGUGGACUUAUUCUAUUAAAAAAAUUAGAAGUCCAUUACAUUAUAUUAAAAAAUAAUGAACUUAUGUUAUUUGAUAUACAUAUUCAAAUCAAAUAAUAAUUUAAAAUUAAUUUAUAUCAAAAAUUCAUUCAAAAAUUGAUUUUCACUAACAUAUUUUCCAAUAACUAUUAUAAAAAUAUUUUCAAUAUAUAUAAGAAAAAUACAAUACAAAGCCCAAUUUCAAACACCAACUUAAAUUAUGGUUUUUAUAUUUCAAAUUAAAAUUUAAAAAUACAAUAUAUAUAUGGUUAUUUACAUGAUUGUACGUAUAAAAUAUUAUUAAUUAUAAGAUUACUUAUUUGAUGGUACAUAUAAAAUACGAUGAAUUAUGUGCUAACACAUAUUUUUGUAACAUAUGAUGACACAUAUAUGAUAAAUUAUAAUGGGCGUUCGGGUUCAUUUUCGGGUCUGUUUGGGAUUUCGUGUUCAGUUCAGAUCUUUGAGGAUUCGGUUCGGAUUUAGAUAACCAAUUUAAAUUAUUUUCACAAAAUUUAAAAUUUACGAUAUGCUUUUAUUUUUAAAAAAAUCUAUAAACAAUAGAAUAUAUUACAUAUAAAUUUGAAUAACAUAUGUCAGAGUACCUAACUUAACAUAUAAAUUGGUUUGGUUUAAAUAUUUGGAUAGAGAAUCAAUAAUUAUUUAAGUAUUUUUGGAGUUUUGAGUAUAUUUUAACUAUUUUAGAUAUUUACGUUUGAUUAUUUGUAUAUAUUUUUAAGUAUUUAAGCGAACUCAAAAGUAUCAUAUAUAUUCUGGAUGUUUUUAUAUAUAGUAAAUCUAAAAAUAAUUAAUAUAUAUAAAUAUAUAAAUCUUCGGUUCGGAUCGGAUUAGGUUUCGGUUUUUCAAAUACCAAAAUUUUGAAUAAUUCAGAUAUUUAAUCAAUUUCGGUUCGGAUUUGGUACUACUUAUUCGGAUUGUAUCUAUUCGGUUCAUCGAAUUCGAGUUUUUUGCCCAAACUUAAAUAGUGACAUAAAAAAUAAAUAGCAUCAUAUUUUUAAAAAAUACACAUGCGCGGACGCGCACGUCAAAAUCUAGUAUCCCUUAUAACAGACCAAAAUCAUUUGGGUAAAUCACUCAAAAGAUUCUAAAAUAAAUAUUUUUAUUAAAAAGAUAGAAAAACUUUGUAUCUUUACUUUAUAGAUAUAAAUAAAAAUUAAAAAUCAAAAAUUAAAAUCAACUUUUCCAAUUCAAACUUUUUAUUUUCGAAUAUUAUUUAUGAAAAUUUGUUUUUUCAAACUUUUAUUUGAAAUCUAAAUUUUUUUAAACUAUUUCUAAAACUAUUAUUUUAAAUAUUUUUUCUAAAAUUCUAAAUCCCACGUUCCAACCGCACUCUUCAAAUGUAAAUACUAAAUUUAUAUUAGUUAACCUUAAAAUUAUAAGUGUUUUUAACUUUUGAUGAAACAUAGUUUGUAAAAACUUUUUGGUGUUAAUAUAUGAAAUUUCUCAAAUCAUUUUGUUGACCUAAAUUUUUACUUAACAAUGGAAGAUCUUGAUAUAAGAUUUGGAUAUAGGUUCGUAAUCUAUCUCAGAGCCGAAGUCAGCCUUAUAGUUUAAUUUUAAGAAUAACCAUCAGUCCAGUUGUUUGAUCUUGAUAUAAGAUUUGGAAAUAUAUCGUGCCGCUUUGUAUAUUUCGUCUCUAAUUUGUUUGUUCGCCAUGUAACGUAUGAUAUUCAGGGUUGGUGGUGAUCAAGCCUCAACGACCCGUUAGCUUUAACAGAGACCACAUGGAGUUUCGUGGCCUAAAAGAGCUGUGGGUUUCGCAUUUAUGAAGUAUUGUGAUCAAAAGGACAAUUAAGUGCAGGAGUGGAGGUGGACCCAACAAAGGUAAUACGGCAGGAAAACAUAAUCAAAUCAUCAUCACCACAACUUAAUUUUUAAAAAAAUCAUCACCACAACUUGUAAACACAUAAUAAAUAUGAAAGAGAUGAUCAGAGGCGGAGAAGACAACGGAGAGCCUUGCCCUGAUGUAGGAGCUGCAUAGCUUCGUUAAUAUCACUGAAAGGAAGCUGGUGAGAGAUGAAGAGGUCCAGAUUGAGCUGACCUUGGAGGCACUGUGUGAAGAGAAGAGGCAACUGUGUUUUGGGUUUGAAACCUCCAAAAACAGAGGCAGUGAUUGAUCUGCCUUGGAAGAGCUCCAUGGGAUGGAUAGGUAGAAGCUGUGGGCUUGCGUGAACGCCAAGCAACACUGUCACUCCCACUCCCGAGUUUGUAGAUAAAAAAGCUUCUCGAAGUGCUUCAAUUCUUCCCGCACACUCGAAGCUGUACUCAACUCCUCCCUCAGUUAUCUCCAUCACCCUCUCGUGAACCGUCUUGUCACUCUCCUUUGGGUUUAUGAACUCAUUGAUCCCCACUUCUCUCCCUAAUGGGAACUUGUCAGGGUUGACGUCGACCCCAAUGAUUUUUGAGGCCCCCUUUGCUCUUGCACCCUCAGCUACCGCAAGCCCAACAGCGCCCAGCCCAAAGAUAGCGACGGUGGAGCCAGGCUGAAUAUCAGCCACGUUCCAGGCCGCACCCACUCCUUCAUUAAACACAAAACAUUACUUGUCCCAUUUAUUAAAUAAAUACAACCACUACGUCAUGUCACACAUAAUUAUGUUGGUUACCAGUUGAGACACCGCAGCUGAGGAGGCUCAUCUUCUCUAGAGGAAACCGAGGGUCCACCUUCACCACACAGGCCGAGUCUAUGACCGUGUACUCGGAGAAGGUGGAUGUGUUAAGAAAAUGGUAGAUGGGCUUGUUGUCUUUGCUGGUGAAGAAUCUGGUCUUCCCAUCACCUACCAUCACUUUCUUCAUUGGAUCCACUCGGAACCUCUCGCAAAGAUUGGCUCCGUCUCGUUU